AUGGCUCAGUACCACCUUCUCCAACACACGCUGCAGCAGCUGGAUGGAGGAUGGGCUCUCAGACAGAACUACUCAAGGUUAUCUGUGAGAUGUGCAACGUACCUUGAGGAGACUAAGUUUCAUACUCUGGGCAUGGAGGAAAUGGUGGUGGAAACAAUCCUGGCACCAUGGGAAAUACUGCUGGUCAUGUGUGCUGCAGUGCUGAUCAUGAGCUUCCUUAUGGUCCUGCCCCCUGCAGUAGUGGUGAUAUGGAGGAUGAAGCAUGUGCCUCAGAUCUCACUGCAUGGCUCGGUGUAA
Molecule: long non-coding RNA, 297 nt
Filed under: Coturnix japonica (Japanese quail)
Lineage: Eukaryota; Metazoa; Chordata; Aves; Galliformes; Phasianidae
Description: lncRNA (ENSCJPG00005012661.1)
Source: RNAcentral